This 216-nucleotide ribosomal RNA is filed under the name uncultured bacterium. Its description in RNAcentral is "partial 16S ribosomal RNA". It matches the Rfam family "Bacterial small subunit ribosomal RNA", at positions 1284 to 1500 of the family's 1533-position model. The record is from RNAcentral.
AGUCUCAGUUCGGAUCGCAGGCUGCAACUCGCCUGCGUGAAGUUGGAAUUGCUAGUAAUCGCGGAUCAGCAUGCCGCGGUGAACACGUUCCCGGGCCUUGUACACACCGCCCGUCACACCAUGGGAGUUUGUAACACCCGAAGUCAGUAUCCUAACCGCAAGGGGGGAGCUGCCGAAGGUGGGAUAAGCGACUGGGUGAAGUCGUAACAAGGUAUC